AGGUUGAACGCUAGCGGCAUGCCUAACACAUGCAAGUCGAACGGUAACAGGCCCUUCGGGUGCUGGCGAGUGGCGGACGGGUGAGUAAUGCGUAGGAAUCUACCCACGAGUGGGGGAUAGCCCGGAGAAAUCCGGAUUAAUACCGCAUAUGCCCUACGGGGUAAAGCGGGGGAUCGUAAGACCUCGCGCUGGUGGAUGAGCCUACGUCGAUUAGUUAGUUGGUGGGGUAAAGGGCCUACCAAGGCUACGAUCGGUAGGCUGGUCUGAGAGGACGACCAGCCACACUGGGACUGGGACGAACGGCCCAGACUCCUACCGGGAGGGCAGC
This 328-nucleotide ribosomal RNA is filed under the name uncultured prokaryote. Its description in RNAcentral is "bacterial SSU rRNA". It matches the Rfam family "Bacterial small subunit ribosomal RNA", at positions 26 to 352 of the family's 1533-position model. The record is from RNAcentral.